UACGUAGGUGGCAAGCGUUGUCCGGAUUUACUGGGCGUAAAGAGCGCGCAGGCGGUCGACCAAGUCGCGUGUGAAAGCCCCCGGCUCAACUGGGGAGGGUCACGCGAUACUGAUCGACUCGAAGGCAGGAGAGGGUAGUGGAAUUCCCGGUGUAGUGGUGAAAUGCGUAGAUAUCGGGAGGAACACCAGUGGCGAAGGCGACUUCCUGGCCUGUUCUUGACGCUGAGGCGCGAAAGCUAGGGGAGCAAACGGG
This 253-nucleotide ribosomal RNA is filed under the name uncultured bacterium. Its description in RNAcentral is "partial 16S ribosomal RNA". It matches the Rfam family "Bacterial small subunit ribosomal RNA", at positions 524 to 776 of the family's 1533-position model. The record is from RNAcentral.